RNAcentral lists this ribosomal RNA (496 nucleotides) under uncultured bacterium. Its description in RNAcentral is "partial 16S ribosomal RNA". It matches the Rfam family "Bacterial small subunit ribosomal RNA", at positions 28 to 507 of the family's 1533-position model. The record is from RNAcentral.
GAUGAACGCUGGCGGCGUGCCUAAUACAUGCAAGUCGAGCGAACGGACGAGAAUCUUGCUUCUCUGAUGUUAGCGGCGGACGGGUGAGUAACACGUGGAUAACCUACCUAUAAGACUGGGAUAACUUCGGGAAACCGGAGCUAAUACCGGAUAAAUUUUGAACCGCAUGGUUCAAAAGUGAAAGACGGUCUUGCUGUCACUUAUAGAUGGAUCCGCUCUUCAUUAGCUAGUUGGUAAGGUAACGGCUUACCAAGGCAACGAUGCAUAGCCGACCUGAGAGGGUGAACGGCCACCCUGGAACUGAGACACGGUCCAGACUCCUACGGGAGGCAGCAGUAGGGAAUCUUCCGCAAUGGGCGAAAGCCUGACGGAGCAACGCAGCGUGAGUGAUGAAGGUCUUCGGAUCGUAAAACUCUGUUAUUAGGGAAGAACAUAUGUGUAAGUAACUGUGCACAUCGUGACGGUACAUAAUCAGAAAGCCACGGCUAACUACGUG